This 500-nucleotide ribosomal RNA is filed under the name uncultured bacterium. RNAcentral describes it as "partial 16S ribosomal RNA". It matches the Rfam family "Bacterial small subunit ribosomal RNA", at positions 30 to 523 of the family's 1533-position model. The record is from RNAcentral.
AUUGAACGCUGGCGGCAUGCCUUACACAUGCAAGUCGAACGGCAGCACGGGAGCAAUCCUGGUGGCGAGUGGCGAACGGGUGAGUAAUAUAUCGGAACGUGCCCAGUCGUGGGGGAUAACGUAGCGAAAGCUACGCUAAUACCGCAUACGAUCUAUGGAUGAAAGCGGGGGAUCGCAAGACCUCGCGCGAUUGGAGCGGCCGAUAUCGGAUUAGGUAGUUGGUGGGGUAAAGGCUCACCAAGCCGACGAUCUGUAGCUGGUCUGAGAGGACGACCAGCCACACUGGGACUGAGACACGGCCCAGACUCCUACGGGAGGCAGCAGUGGGGAAUUUUGGACAAUGGGCGAAAGCCUGAUCCAGCCAUGCCGCGUGCAGGAUGAAGGCCUUCGGGUUGUAAACUGCUUUUGUACGGAACGAAAAGGUUUGGCCUAAUAAGCUGAGCUCAUGACGGUACCGUAAGAAUAAGCACCGGCUAACUACGUGCCAGCAGCCGCAGUAA